Molecule: ribosomal RNA, 497 nt
Filed under: uncultured bacterium
Lineage: Bacteria
Description: partial 16S ribosomal RNA
Rfam family: Bacterial small subunit ribosomal RNA
Source: RNAcentral
UCUUCCCUCUGGCGGCGUGCCUAAUACAUGCAAGUCGAGCGAACAGAUAAGGAGCUUGCUCCUUUGAAGUUAGCGGCGGACGGGUGAGUAACACGUGGGUAACCUACCUAUAAGACUGGGAUAACUUCGGGAAACCGGAGCUAAUACCGGAUAACAUUUAGAACCGCAUGGUUCUAAAGUGCAAGAUGGUUUUGCUAUCACUUAUAGAAGGACCCGCGCCGUAUUAGCUAGUUGGUAAGGUAACGGCUUACCAAGGCGACGAUACGUAGCCGCCCUGAGAGGGUGGUCGGCCACACUGGAACUGAGACACGGUCCAGGCUCCUACGGGAGGCAGCAGUAGGGAAUCUUCCGCAAUGGGCGAAAGCCUGACGGAGCAACGCCGCGUGAGUGAUGAAGGGUUUCGGCUCGUAAAACUCUGUUAUUAGGGAAGAACAAAUGUGUAAGUAACUGUGCACAUCUUGGCGGUAGCUAAUCAGAAAGCCACGGGUAACUACGUG